GUAAUGAUUCCUACAACAUUAAUGCACCAUAUCCCAUCAGAACUCCACAGUUAAGCGUGUUUGGGCUAGAGUAGUACUGGGAUGGGUGACCUCCUAUGGCAUUUUGCAAACUUAGACC
Molecule: non-coding RNA, 118 nt
Organism: Picea glauca (white spruce)
Lineage: Eukaryota; Viridiplantae; Streptophyta; Pinopsida; Pinales; Pinaceae
Source: Rfam